This 402-nucleotide ribosomal RNA is filed under the name uncultured prokaryote. RNAcentral describes it as "bacterial SSU rRNA". It matches the Rfam family "Bacterial small subunit ribosomal RNA", at positions 355 to 774 of the family's 1533-position model. The record is from RNAcentral.
UGGGGAAUCUUGCACAAUGGGGGAAACCCUGAUGCAGCGACGCCGCGUGAGUGACGAAGCCCUUCGGGGUGUAAAGCUCUUUCGACAGGAACGAUAAUGACGGUACCUGAAGAAGAAGCUGCGGCUCACUACGUGCCAGCAGCCGCGGUAAUACGUAGGCAGCACGCGUUGUUCGGAAUUACUUGGCGGAAAGAGUGCGUAGGUGGUUGGCUAAGUUUGGUGUGAAAUCUCCCGGCUUAACUGGGAGGGUGCGCCGAAAACUGGCUAGCUAGAGUGUGGGAGAGGGAAGUGGAAUUCCUGGUGUAGCGGUGAAAUGCGUAGAUAUCAGGAGGAACACCUGCGGUGUAGACGGCUUCCUGGACCAUUACUGACACUGAGGCACGAAAGCGUGGGGAGCAAACA